RNAcentral lists this ribosomal RNA (501 nucleotides) under uncultured bacterium. RNAcentral's name for it is "partial 16S ribosomal RNA". It matches the Rfam family "Bacterial small subunit ribosomal RNA", at positions 28 to 507 of the family's 1533-position model. The record is from RNAcentral.
GACGAACGCUGGCGGCGUGCCUAAUACAUGCAAGUCGGGCGGACCGAACGAGGGCUUGCUCUUGUUUGGUCAGCGGCGGACGGGUGAGUAACACGUGGGCAACCUGCCCGCAAGACCGGGAUAACUCCGGGAAACCGGAGCUAAUACCGGAUAACACCGAAGACCGCAUGGUCUUCGGUUGAAAGGCGGCCUUUGGGCUGUCACUUGCGGAUGGGCCCGCGGCGCAUUAGCUAGUUGGUGAGGUAACGGCUCACCAAGGCGACGAUGCGUAGCCGGCCUGACAGGGUGACCGGCCACACUGGGACUGAGACACGGCCCAGACUCCUACGGGAGGCAGCAGUAGGGAAUCUUCCGCGAUGGGCGAAAGCCUGACGGAGCGACGCCGCGUGAGCGAAGAAGGCCUUCGGGUCGUAAAGCUCUGUUGUGAGGGACGAAGGAGCGCCGUUCGAAGAGGGCGGCGCAGUGACGGUACCUCACGAGAAAGCCCCGGCUAACUACGUG